GAUGAACUCUGGCGGCGUGCUUAAUACAUGCAAGUCGAACGAAGCACCUUGGACAGAAUCCUUCGGGAGGGAGACCAUUGUGACUGAGUGGCGGACGGGUGAGUAACGCGUGGGUAACCUGCCUUGUACGGGGGGAUAACAGUUGGAAACGACUGCUAAUACCGCAUAAGCGCACAGUACCGCAUGGUACGGUGUGAAAAACUCCGGUGGUACAAGAUGGACCCGCGUCUGAUUAGCUUGUUGGUGAGGUAACGGCCCACCAAGGCGACGAUCAGUAGCCGACUUGAGAGAGUGAUCGGCCACAUUGGGACUGAGACACGGCCCAAACUCCUACGGGAGGCAGCAGUAGGGAAUAUUGCACAAUGGGGGAAACCCUGAUGCAGCGACGCCGCGUGAAGGAAGAAGUAUUUCGGUAUGUAAACUUCUAUCAGCAAGGAAGAAAAUGACGGUACUUGACUAAGAAGCCCCGGCUAAAUACGUGCCAGCAGCCGCGGUAAUACGUAUGGGGCAAGCGUUAUCCGGAUUUACUGGGUGUAAAGGGAGCGUAGGCGGCAUGGCAAGUCAGAAGUGAAAGCCUGGGGCUCAACCCCGGAAUUGCUUUUGAAACUGUCAGGCUAGAGUGUCGGAGGGGUAAGCGGAAUUCCUAGUGUAGCGGUGAAAUGCGUAGAUAUUAGGAGGAACACCGGUGGCGAAGGCGGCUUACUGGACGAUUACUGACGCUAAGGCUCGAAAGCGUGGGGAGCAC
Molecule: ribosomal RNA, 745 nt
Filed under: uncultured bacterium
Lineage: Bacteria
Description: bacterial SSU rRNA
Rfam family: Bacterial small subunit ribosomal RNA
Source: RNAcentral